UGACUUUUCAUACCAAAUAAUUUAUACUUGUUUGUGUCUAUACAUCGACUCAAAUUCGAAACAAACCUAUCUGGAAACUUCAUAUUUUCCAAUCAAUUGAACAAGGCAAUCUUUUUAUUCUUCGUAAGAUGAGUAGGGGGCGAGCGACCGGGCCUGACGAGAUCCCGGUGGAGUUCUGGAAGUGCAUGGGUAAGUCAGGAGGGGAGUGGCUCUCUAGG
This 218-nucleotide long non-coding RNA is filed under the name Nicotiana benthamiana. RNAcentral's name for it is "long non-coding RNA (NBEN_LNC027082)". The record is from RNAcentral. Lineage: Eukaryota; Viridiplantae; Streptophyta; Magnoliopsida; Solanales; Solanaceae.